This 2058-nucleotide long non-coding RNA is filed under the name Sus scrofa (pig). Its description in RNAcentral is "lncRNA (ENSSSCG00000051369.2)". Lineage: Eukaryota; Metazoa; Chordata; Mammalia; Artiodactyla; Suidae. The record is from RNAcentral.
CUUCGUUACUCAGGAGAAAAAAAGAGGGAGAGAGAGAGAGAAAAUCAAGUCGCAGCCGGCUUGGCCCGGUGUUGGGGGCGGUCGCGCGGAACGGUGAGGCUGUGAGAACUUCCCCAGCUGCUGACUGAAGUGGGAAGUGAGGUGUGAACUGAGACCCCGGGAGAGAGGCCCUCCGGGUAGGACCUGGCCUCGGACUGGCGGCGUAAAGGGUGGCCUUGCCACCGACUGAGAGUGGUUGAGCUGGCCUCUGGCCGAGUGUGGGGAGAGAGGCUUCACUUCUUUGUACACAUGUGCAGAGGCUAUGAAGUCCAGGAUUAAGGUGCUGGCCAAUUCAGUUUCUGGUGAAGACUCUUCUGGAGUUGCAGACUUCUGAGUUUAUCUUCAAAUGGCCUUUCCCCAGUGGGCGUAUGUGGGGAGAGGGGAGAGCCAUCCUGCCUGAAACUCAGGAAACACAAGGUCCCUGGUUGUGUAAUAUGAGUACACUUGAAAGUUCCUCGUCCUUAUCUGGCAACCCAGAUGGAUAAAUACUGGCCCUGAAGAUGCUUUUCUUAAAACUGAGCACAAGUGGCUGCAGAACAGAGCUUGGGAAGAACCAGUUAUUCUUCUGUCAGUUCAAAACUGGGGGCCCCUUCCCUCUAGCAUUCAUCCUCUGCUUGCCGGGGCAUAUCAAUUUCACCCAAAUCACGUGGACUAAGGUGGUGAUGGUGGGCUGUGGUAGGUAUGAUUUCCCCAAAGAAAAUUCAGAUGAAGUCACCAGAGGGAAGAAGGAAGAAUGGAUGUUUAUGCAAAAGACGCAGAUGUCCACAACAGUUCCCACAUGGGAAGAGAAUAAUCCAGGUUUAAGAGCCCUGGCUUGGGACCCCAGUGUCUGGGGAUGGAGUCCCAGCUCUACCAUUUACAAAUUGUGUGACCAUGGCUGGAUCAUGUCACCAGUCAGUAUGGGUCUGUGUCCCCAUUAACAAAUGGGAGUGAUGGUCCAGCAUUGUGGGCCUGAAUCAGAGUGACAGCACAUUGCAAAGGCACCAUGUAAGCUCCAGCAGGUGUGUCACAGCUACUUGUGGUGUCAUGAAAUCUGAAGUCUCUGAUCCAGUGAAUCAGCUUCUGAAUAUUUAAUCAAAGGAAAUUAAAACACUAACUCAGGAGUUCCCAUCAUGGUGCAGUGGUUAACGGAUCCGACUAGGAACCAUAAGGUUGCGAGUUCGAUCCCUGGCCUUGCUCAGUGGGUCGAGGAUCCAGCAUUGCCGUGAGCUGUGGUGUAAGUUGCAGACACGGCUGGGAUCCUGCGUUGCUGCGGCUCUGGCGUAGGCCGGUGGCUAUAGCUCCAAUUAGACCCCUAGCCUGGGAAUCUCCAUAUGCCGCUGGAGCGGCCCUAGAAAAAGGCAAAAAGACAAAACAAACAAACAAACAAACAAAAAAACACUAACUCAAAAAGGUAUCUGUACCCCCAUGUUCAUUGCAGCAUUAUUUACAAUAGCCAGGAUAUGCAAACAACCUAAGUGUCUAUUGAUGGAUGAAUCAAUAAAGAAAUGUGGUGUGUAUAUGUAAUGGAAUAUACUUCAGCCAUAGGAAAGAAUAAAAUUCUGCCAUUUUGCAACAACAUGGAUGAACCUUGAGGGCAUUAUGCUAAAUGAAAUGUCAGACAGAGAAAGACAAAUACCAUAUGAUCUUACUCAUAUAUGAAAUUAAAAAGAAAAACUAAGGUCAUAAAUACAAAAAGUAGAUUGGUGGUUGCCAAAGAUGGGGGGAUAGGAGAAUGGGCGAAAUGACUGAAGGGGGUCAAAAGGUAUAGACUUUCAGUUAUAAGAUAAAUAAGUCCUGGGAUAUAAUGUACAGCAUGGUGACUGUAGUUAACACUGUAUUGCACAUUUUAAUGUUUCUAAGAGAGUGGAUCUUAAAAAUUCAUCACAAGAGAAAAAAUUUAUAACUAUGUAUGGUAACAGAUAUUAACUACACUUAUUAUGGAGACCAUUUUUCAGUGUAUACAAAUAUUGAAUCAUGUUGUAUGCCUGAAAUUAUUAUAAUGUUAUAUGUCAAUUAUACCUAAAUAAAAAACAAAAU